This 429-nucleotide ribosomal RNA is filed under the name uncultured bacterium. Its description in RNAcentral is "partial 16S ribosomal RNA". It matches the Rfam family "Bacterial small subunit ribosomal RNA", at positions 338 to 784 of the family's 1533-position model. The record is from RNAcentral.
CCUACGGGCGGCUGCAGUAGGGAAUUUUGCGCAAUGGGCGAAAGCCUGACGCAGCAACGCCGCGUGAUCGAGACGCCCUUCGGGGUGUAAAGAUCUGUCAGUGGGGACGAAACUUGACGGUACCCACAGAGGAAGCACCGGCUAACUCCGUGCCAGCAGCCGCGGUAAUACGGGGGGUGCAAGCGUUGUCCGGAGUCACUGGGGGUAAAGAGUUCGUAGGCGGCACGGAAAGUCUGGUGUGAAAGGCAGAGGCUCAACCUCGGAACGGCACUGGAUACUGGCGUGCUAGAGGGCGGGAGAGGCAGACGGAAGUACGAGGGGAGCGGGGAAAUGCGUAGAGAGUAGGAGGAAGACAAGUGGCGAAGGCGGGCGGCUGGACAGUAACUGAAGCGGAGGUGCGAAAGCGGGGGGAGCAAACAGGAGGAGAGA